CACGUAGGGCGCAAGCGUUGUCCGGAAUUAUUGGGCGUAAAGAGCUCGUAGGCGGUCUGUUGCGUCCGCUGUGAAAACUCGGGGCUUAACCCCGAGCCUGCAGUGGAUACGGGCAGACUAGAGGUAGGUAGGGGAGAAUGGAAUUCCCGGUGUAGCGGUGAAAUGCGCAGAUAUCGGGAAGAACACCCGUGGCGAAGGCGGCUCUCUGGAACGCAACUGACGCUGAGACGCGAAAGCGUGGGUAGCAAACAGG
Molecule: ribosomal RNA, 253 nt
Filed under: uncultured bacterium
Lineage: Bacteria
Description: partial 16S ribosomal RNA
Rfam family: Bacterial small subunit ribosomal RNA
Source: RNAcentral